Molecule: ribosomal RNA, 508 nt
Filed under: uncultured bacterium
Lineage: Bacteria
Description: bacterial SSU rRNA
Rfam family: Bacterial small subunit ribosomal RNA
Source: RNAcentral
GACGAACGCUGGCGGCGUGCCUGACACAUGCAAGUCGGACGGUUCUUGUACCUUCAAGCUUGCUUGUUGGUGCAAGGAUAGUGGCGGACGGGUGAGUAACGCGUGAACAUCUACCCAUUGGAGGGGGACAACCCGUCGAAAGGCGGGCUAAUACCGCGUAAGCCGCGAGGUGAGAGGCUGCCUAUUGGUGGCCGCCGAUGGAUGGGUUCGCGUCCUAUCAGCUGGUUGGUGGGUAACGGCCUACCAAGGCGAAGACGGGUAGCCGGUCUGAGAGGAUGGCCGGCCACACUGGAACUGAGACACGGUCCAGACUCCUACGGGAGGCAGCAGUGGGGAAUAUUGGGCAAUGGGGGAGACCCUGACCCAGCGACGCCGCGUGAGGGAUGAAGGUUUUCGGAUCGUAAAGCUCUGUCAGAUGGGAAGAAAUGGAUGGGGGCUAAUAUCGUCCAUCCUUGACGGUACCAUCAGAGGAAGCACCGGCUAACUCCGUGCCAGCAGCCGCGGUAAA